GGUUGACCUCGGAUCAGGUAGGGAUACCCGCUGAACUUAAGCAUAUCAAUAAGCGGAGGAAAAGAAACCAACAGGGAUUGCCUCAGUAACGGCGAGUGAAGCGGCAAGAGCUCAAAUUUGAAAUCUGGCGUCUUUGGCGUCCGAGUUGUAAUUUGCAGAGGAUGCUUCGGAUACAGCCCCUGUCUAAGUGCCCUGGAACGGGCCGUCGGAGAGGGUGAGAAUCCCGUCUGGGACAGGGUGUCUGUGUCUGUGUGAAGCUCCUUCGACGAGUCGAGUUGUUUGGGAAUGCAGCUCUAAAUGGGUGGUAAAUUUCAUCUAAAGCUAAAUAUUGGCCGGAGACCGAUAGCGCACAAGUAGAGUGAUCGAAAGAUGAAAAGCACUUUGGAAAGAGAGUUAAACAGCACGUGAAAUUGUUGAAAGGGAAGCGCUUGCGACCAGACUCGCUUGCAGGGUUCAGCCGGGAUUCGUCCCGGUGUACUUCCCUGCUGGCGGGCCAGCGUCGGUUUGGGCGGCCGGUCAAAGGCCCCUGGAAUGUAGCACCCUCGGGUGUCUUAUAGCCAGGGGUGCAAUGCGGCCUGCCUGGACCGAGGAACGCGCUUCGGCACGGACGCUGGCAUAAUGGUCGUAAGCGACC
Molecule: ribosomal RNA, 634 nt
Filed under: Penicilliopsis clavariiformis
Lineage: Eukaryota; Fungi; Ascomycota; Eurotiomycetes; Eurotiales; Aspergillaceae
Description: eukaryotic LSU rRNA
Rfam family: Eukaryotic large subunit ribosomal RNA
Source: RNAcentral